AUACGUAGGUGACAAGCGUUAUCCGGAUUUACUGGGCGUAAAGGGCGUGUAGGCGGUCUUGCAAGUCAGAAGUGAAAUUCCUGAGCUCAACUCGGGCGCUGCUUCUGAAACUGCAGGACUUGAGUGCUGGAGGGGAUAGCGGAAUUCCUAGUGGAGCGGUAAAAUGCGCAGAUAUUAGGAAGAACACCGGUGGCGAAGGCGGCUAACUGGACAGUAACUGACGCUGAGGCGCGAAAGCGUGGGGAGCAAACAGGAUUAGAUCCCCUGGUAGUCCACGCCGUAAACGAUGAAUACUAGGUGUAGGGGGUAUCGACUCCCUCUGUGCCGCAGUUAACACAAUAAGUAUUCCGCCUGGGGAGUACGGCCGCAAGGUUGAAACUCAAAUGAAUUGGCGGGG
RNAcentral lists this ribosomal RNA (397 nucleotides) under uncultured bacterium. Its description in RNAcentral is "partial 16S ribosomal RNA". It matches the Rfam family "Bacterial small subunit ribosomal RNA", at positions 523 to 918 of the family's 1533-position model. The record is from RNAcentral.